GGUUCCUUAGGAAACUAAAUAAUCACAAACCAGGUGUAAUUUUUCAGUUAUAGUACCGAUUUUAAUGGUACUACAUACAGUCUCUACUGUAAAAACUAUGUUACAAAUUGAUUUAAACUACGGGAUAAAGAAACACACUACAGAAGAUGAACUAGUAGAUGAGAAGGGACAGUAGUACACAGCCACACUCCAAACAGACUGGGGCAGGAGUGAGGGAAGGAAAUGGAGGGAUAAGCGGAGCUUUGAAAUUCAAACUGCGAUAUCACACACACUACACGAGAUGGAGCAGCAGUAAGAACAGCAGCAAUAAGUCGUAAAUCACAUGGCAGAACAAGAUGGUGUGUGGUCAGUAAACUGGAACUGCAUUGUGUGAACCAAAGAGAUAGAGAAAGCAAUCUCUUUGGUAUGAAUAAACCACAUUUGCAGCGAUCUGCUGCACCCACAGACAUUAGCACAGAUAUUUGUGCAGAUGGAUCGUAGCCUGUGGAUGGACUUUAACCUAAAACAAUGUCAGGAAGCAUAGCCAUAGAACUGCCGCCAUGGACCACAAGAAAACUAUCUGGAUAAAAAAAGAAAAAGGAGAUGAGCUAUGGGGUCACUCAGCAGGCUGGAAGGAUGUGCUGCUACUGCAAAAGCAGGCAAUAACAAUUAUUACAUCGAGCAGCAGCCAGUAACACUGCAGACCAUUAUUCAGAACAUAUAGCCACUAUGUAUUAUUAUGCCUCAUCCACAUAAGGGAAAACCUAGACACCUACACCAAGAGGCAUGACACCCAUAAACAUAAUACCUGCACCAGGGAAGACGUAAAUCUACCAACCUGCCGACUGUCCAAAACAAGAGACAGUUUUCCGGUGGUCGCUGUGAGGAUGUUCAACAAACUACCUGUUGAAUUGCAGACCCUGCCCCUGGGCAACUUCAAGAAACAAAUUGCUGAAGGCCUAAAACAAUGCCCACUGUACUUGGUCCAAGAAUUCUUUGACUGUGGAGAAAGUGAAUGGACAUAUUGAACAUGACAUAGUCUGUACAUAUUACCUGUAUAAAGUUUAGAUGUUAUUCUCUAAUUCAUUAUAUUGUAAAUCACUUGAUUAUAGCUUUGACACAGUCUGUCCAGCUAUGGCUGGUGAACGAUG
Schistocerca piceifrons (Central American locust) is the source of this 1130-nucleotide long non-coding RNA. RefSeq lists it as uncharacterized. The transcript is spliced from 5 exons. Lineage: Eukaryota; Metazoa; Arthropoda; Insecta; Orthoptera; Acrididae. The record is from RefSeq and is a predicted model, not a curated record.